UACGGAGGGUGCAAGCGUUACUCGGAAUCGCUGAGCGUAAAGGGCGCGUAGGCGGCCUAGCAAGUCUGGUGUGAAAGCCCAGGGCUCAACCCUGGAAGGGCACUGGAAACUGUUAGGCUUGAGUUCCGGAGAGGAGGGGGGAAUUCCCGGUGUAGCGGUGAACUGCGUAGAUAUCGGGAGGAAUACCGGUGGCGAAGGCGCCCCUCUGGACGGAAACUGACGCUGAGGCGCGAAAGCGUGGGGAGCAAACAGG
Molecule: ribosomal RNA, 253 nt
Filed under: uncultured bacterium
Lineage: Bacteria
Description: partial 16S ribosomal RNA
Rfam family: Bacterial small subunit ribosomal RNA
Source: RNAcentral